RNAcentral lists this long non-coding RNA (356 nucleotides) under Ananas comosus (pineapple). RNAcentral describes it as "long non-coding RNA (ACOM_LNC008477)". Lineage: Eukaryota; Viridiplantae; Streptophyta; Magnoliopsida; Poales; Bromeliaceae. The record is from RNAcentral.
UUGAAACUUAUCUAAUUCUAAUAGAAAAAAUAAAAUUAUGGCAAAAAUAUAUUAUAAUCGACUUAUUGCGAAAUGUGGUACGCAAUAUAACAUAAGAAAAAAAACCGAAUAUUUUUUAUUGUAUUUUUUCAUCGCAUCUAAUGUAAUCUCCUCGCAAUUUCAAACAGAGCCUAAGAAUUGUGUCCAGAGCAUGAUUCUAUUUGGUUAGAUCCCAAAAUGAGUCUAAGGACGCGUUUGGUUUGAAUUAUGUAACAUUACAGGGUAUUUCGAUAUAUUCAAAUAUUUUGGUUUGAGUUAUGUAAUAUCACAGGGUAUUUCGAUAUAUCCCAAUAUGAGUCUAAGAGUUGUAUCUAGUG